RNAcentral lists this ribosomal RNA (253 nucleotides) under uncultured bacterium. RNAcentral's name for it is "partial 16S ribosomal RNA". It matches the Rfam family "Bacterial small subunit ribosomal RNA", at positions 524 to 776 of the family's 1533-position model. The record is from RNAcentral.
UACGAAGGGGGCUAGCGUUGCUCGGAAUCACUGGGCGUAAAGCGCACGUAGGCGGCUUCUUAAGUCGGUGGUGAAAUCCUGGAGCUCAACUCCAGAACUGCCUUCGAUACUGAGAGGCUCGAGUCCGGGAGAGGUGAGUGGAACUGCGAGUGUAGAGGUGAAAUUCGUAGAUAUUCGCAAGAACACCAGUGGCGAAGGCGGCUCACUGGCCCGGUACUGACGCUGAGGUGCGAAAGCGUGGGGAGCAAACAGG